Molecule: long non-coding RNA, 1195 nt
Organism: Dreissena polymorpha
Lineage: Eukaryota; Metazoa; Mollusca; Bivalvia; Myida; Dreissenidae
Exons: 2
Source: RefSeq, a predicted model, not a curated record
UUGACCAAUUUUUCAAUGGGUUAAUUAUUUCUUUAACAUUAUAAAUAGAGGAUAUUUGUUCAUGUCAGUGUAAGAUCCUUUGUCAUUUCACGAGUGAUCAUAGAAAAUAUAUUUUUAUGCCCCCCUUCGAAGAAGAGGGGGUAUAUUGUUUUGCACAUGUCGGUCGGUCAGUAGGUCGGUCAGUAGGUCGGUCGGUCCGUCCACCAGAUGGUUUCCGGAUGAUAACUCGAGAACGCUUAGGCCUAGGAUCAUGAAACUUCAUAGGUACAUUGAUCAUAACUGGCAGAUGACCCCUAUUGAUUUUCAGGUCAAAGGUCAAGGUCACAGUGACUCUAAUUAGUAAAAUGGUUUCCGGAUGAUAACUCAAGAAUGCUUAUGCCUAGGAUCAUGAAACUUCAUAGGUACAUUGAUCAUGAGUGGCAGAUGACCCCUAUUGAUUUUCAGGUCACUAGGUCAAAGGUCAAGGUCACAGUGACUUGAAACAGUAAAAUGGUUUCCGGAUGAUCACUCAAGAAUGCUUACGCCUAGGAUCAUGAAACUUCAUAGGUACAUUGAUCAUGACUGGCAGAUGACCCCUAUUGAUUUUCUGGGACUAGGUCAAAGGUCAAGGUCACAGUGACUCGAAAUAGUAAAAUGGUUUCCGGAUGAUAACUCGAGAAUGCUUACGCCUAGGAUCAUGAAACUUCAUAGGUACAUUGAUCAUGAGUGGCAUAUGACCCCUAUUGAUUUUCAGGUCACUAGGUCAAAGGUCAAGGUCACAGUGACUUGAAACAGUAAAAUGGUUUCCGGAUGAUCACUCAAGAAUGCUUACGCCUAGGAUCAUGAAACUUCAUAGGUACAUUGAUCAUAACUGGCAGAUGACCCCUAUUGAUUUUCAGGUUACUUGGUCAAAGGUCAAGGUCACAGUGACUCUAAACAGUAAAAUAGUUUCCGGAUGUGAACUCAAGAAUGCUUAUGCCGAGGAUCAUGAAACUUCAUAGGUACAUUGAUCAUGACUGGCAGAUGACCCCUAUUGAUUUUCAGGUCACUAGGUCAAAGGUCAAGGUCACAGUGACUCGAAACAGUAAAAUGGUUUCCGGGUGAUAACUCAAGAAUACUUAGGCCUAGGAUCAUGAAACUUCAUAGGUACAUUUAUCAUGACUGGCAGAUGACCCCUAUUGAUUUUCAGGUCACUAGGUCAAAGGUCAAGGUCACA